Long non-coding RNA from Brassica rapa (field mustard), 1612 nucleotides. RefSeq lists it as uncharacterized. The record is from RefSeq and is a predicted model, not a curated record. NCBI's taxonomy places the organism in Eukaryota, Viridiplantae, Streptophyta, Magnoliopsida, Brassicales, Brassicaceae.
UCGUGCGGCUGCCUCUCUGUAACCUUUGAACUAUCAUGGAAGAUUGUGAUCUCAUUAUUUUGUUUUCCUGUCUUCCUUUCGGAAGUUUCCUCUACGCUUACGUCAGUUUGAAGUAAUCAAAACACUGUCGUUUUAGAAUUCCUUUUUGGGUUGAAAAAUCCACUGAUAUAUACGUACCAUUUGGUUUGACCAAAGAAAAUAUGUACCAUCAUCAUUGGUUGGUAGUUUGAAUUAGUGCAAGAAGCAGCCGGUUCCAAACUAGUGUAAGAGUUACCAUAAACAUAAGAUAGUUUUGCUUCAAUUUGUUAUUUAUAAUAGAUGAAUGCUAUAUUUGUGGAAAUUCUCUUAAUUGAGUGGUUUAAUUUGAGGGUUCGUCAAUGUUUAUAUAUUAGUUUCGAGUACAAGAGAAAGAAAUUUAUGAAUAUUAAUGAAGACAAAAUGUACAAAUAUCUUCAGCAUCGUGUAAGUAUAACCGUCAAAUCGUAUAUUUUCAGAACAUGUAUAAAACAGUAUAGUUAAAUGUAAAUUAUCAUAAAACAUGUUAUAUAAUAUUUAUAACUAGGGUCGGCCCGGGCUACGCCCGGGUUUUUUGUUUAAAUUUUAAUUUUGAUUAUAUAUUUUGUAUAUUUAUUUAAUAUAUAUAUAGUAUAACCUAUUAUAAAAAUAUAAGCUAUUAAAUUAUUUAUAACUAUGCAUUUUUUUGUCUUAUGAAUUGAAAAAUUUUAAAUCCAAAUUUUAAUAUCCAAUUUUUUAUAUUUUGUAAUUGGAAACUUUAUAUAAGGUGAAGAGAAAAAUUAACAAAAUUAAUUAAAUUUUAGUUAUAGUGUUUGAUUGGUUGGACUAUAGAUAUGUUUCAUUUCACUUACACCUUUUUAUAUCUUUUGUUUCCAAUUAGUUCUAAGCAAUUUAAUUGACCAUCCCCCUUGAAAUCUACAAUCUUACUUAAUGUUUUUUUUUCAAAAAUCAGCGGUUAAAAUGUUAUAAUAUUUUCUACAUCAAAAAUUUACAAUUACAUCAGUAAAAAUUACAUACUAAAUUAUUUAAACAAAUUUUCUGCAUUUAUAACUAACUAAUCGGACCUAUAAUCUGAAUAUUUUUUUAUCUCACUUAUAUAAGUUUUUCGAUUACAUAUUGUUAAAUGGACAACCCGAUAAAAUUUUAUUUAAGUUUUAGAACCAUUGAAUUCAUAACUUUAAUAGGUGUUUGAAAAUUUGUCUUUCCAAUUUUGUAUGUUCCGCUUCAUCAUGCAAUAUAUUUUGAUGUAAUUGCACCAUCUAUGUUUAUAUAUACAUUGUUUCAAAAAAAAAUCUUCUAUAUAUAUAUAUAUAUAAAGUGGAUAUAUAUAAUCAAUUUUGAACAAUGACCAUAAUCGUAUAACAAAUUGUCGUUACCAAAGUAUAACAAAUUUUGUGUUGUUGUUUUAUUUAUAUUAUAGCAGUGAUGUCACAUGAUAAUGCACAAAUAUGUGGAACUCACGUUUCUCCUCUUUAAACAAAAAAUAUAGACUGCCAAGCUAAGCUAUUAAAGUAUGUAUUGACCUGUGAAACUCAGGUUUUUUUCGUUUUUGGGGUUUUUGCUUGUUCCAAGCAGCAGUAAAGUAAUUCACAGUUAA